RNAcentral lists this ribosomal RNA (360 nucleotides) under Triticum aestivum (bread wheat). RNAcentral's name for it is "partial small subunit ribosomal RNA". The record is from RNAcentral. Lineage: Eukaryota; Viridiplantae; Streptophyta; Magnoliopsida; Poales; Poaceae.
AUGGAUGGGUCAGAGGUUCGUUUCUGGGAAGACAUAUGGCUAGGCAAUGCCAGUUUCCGAGAGCAAUACCCAGCCUUAUAUGUCAUUGCUCGCGAUAAGAGUAAUACUAUUGCGCAAGUGCUUAGUUCAUCCCCGCCGAAUAUUUCGUGCAGGCGGGAUUUGAUUGGCCCUCGACUUUUGGCAUGGCAUAAUCUUUUAUCCCGUCUGGAUUCGAUUAAUCUGACACAAGGCCGGGAUGCGUUUCACUGGAAACUCACAACAUCAGGGUCUUACACAGUAGACUCAAUGUAUCGUGCGCUUAUGCAUUCCGAGGUGCCAGUGAAUAAUAACAAAAAAAAUGGAAGUCUAAGAUUCCACUAA